Long non-coding RNA from Bufo bufo (common toad), 970 nucleotides. RefSeq lists it as uncharacterized. The record is from RefSeq and is a predicted model, not a curated record. Lineage: Eukaryota; Metazoa; Chordata; Amphibia; Anura; Bufonidae. The transcript is spliced from 3 exons.
GGAAAGAGAAUAUCUACAUCAGAGGAGAUGUCACUGGAUGUAAGAGAGGGGCUAAUAGGGAUCACUUGCAUGCCAUUAUCUAGAAGUGGUCUCCUAACCUCCAGCAAAGGUGUCCAGACUACAGGCAGCAUGUGGCCCGAGGCUGAAACCAAAUGCCUGGGAUAAUCUUGUCUGCAGAAGAAAAUCAUUCUGGCCGAGUGGUUCCACUGCCAUCAAUACUCUUUAAUCAUUCCUCACCGGGUCUAUAUCAGAUGGGGCCCUGGAGCACUCGUGCCUAUGCUUGUCCAUACCCAGGUCAGACAGAGGAAGAAAGCUAUUGAUUUGGAACUGCGCUGGAUUUCCCUGCGGGCCAGGAUCAGUGCCAAAGACAUUUUGCCAAAUUUUGAUUUUAUUAGCAAAUGAAUUGCAGGUCGCAGAUGCCAAAAUGUGAAAUUGAUAUUCAUUAGCAAAUUAUCUCCAGGUUUCUAAUCUCUCUAUUCAUUGCUACAAUGGGCCGGGAACGUUCAAUGCCUAAUAUGCGUUCAUGUGGAUGCAGAUGAGAUAUUUGAGCCUGGCUAAAUGGGAAUGCUUAGUUUACACAGUCAGAUGCGGAUUCCUUCUGAGCCCCACUGCGUUCUAUCAGCAGAGAGCAUUCGGAAAGACAGCAAGUCUGCCAUCGCUGGCAGGAGCGCAUUUCUUAUAAGGAGUUGCAGACAAGCUUUUAACUCCUCAGGUUUUAAAUGAAUAUCACCCUGCAGCAAUGGAUCUUAGACAGCGAGUCUAAGAUAUAUGUAUGGAUGUCUGGGGAGAGUAAUGAGGAGAAAUUACAGAGCUUGAUGGGAACGGCUGUGAGUACGGGACACGCAGAUCUUUCCGCCAUUAAUGGAAGCAAGCAGCGAAAUGGGAGGCCCAAGUUAUAUGGGGAAUAACUGAGAGCAAAGAUUAUUCAUCGGUGUCUUUCCGAAACGCGUUAAACAUGAAGACGGUGAAA